This 715-nucleotide ribosomal RNA is filed under the name uncultured bacterium. RNAcentral describes it as "bacterial SSU rRNA". It matches the Rfam family "Bacterial small subunit ribosomal RNA", at positions 758 to 1474 of the family's 1533-position model. The record is from RNAcentral.
AGCUAGGGGAGCAAACAGGAUUAGAUACCCUGGUAGUCCUAGCCCUAAACCAUCAGGACUUGGGGUUUGCCCUGUACGGGGCAAGUCCCGUAGCUAACGCGUUAAGUCCUGCGCCUGGGGAGUACGGUCGCAAGACUGAAACUCAAAGGAAUUGACGGGGGCCCGCACAAGCGGUGGAACAUGUGGUUCAAUUCGACGCAACGCGAAGAACCUUACCUGGGCUUGAACCGCACAGGACCAUCUUUGGAAACAGAGACUCCCCGCAAGGGACCUGUGUAGAGGUGCUGCAUGGCUGUCGUCAGCUCGUGCCGUGAGGUGUUGGGUUAAGUCCCGCAACGAGCGCAACCCUUACUCGUAGUUGCCACCCGCAAGGGGGAACUCUACGAGGACUGCUCCGGAUAACGGAGAGGAAGGUGGGGAUGAGGUCAAGUCAGCAUGGCCUUUAUGUCCAGGGCCACACACGUGUUACAAUGCGCGCCACAAAGCGUUGCAAACCCGCGAGGGGGAGCUAAUCGCAAAAAAGCGCGCUCAGUUCGGAUUGCAGUCUGCAACUCGACUGCAUGAAGCCGGAAUCGCUAGUAAUGGCGCAUCAGAACGGCGCCGUGAAUACGUUCCCGGGCCUUGCACACACCGCCCGUCACAUCACGAAAGUGGGCUGUACUAGAAAUCGCCGUGCCAACCGCAAGGGGGCAGGCGCUCAAGGUAUGACUCAUGA